CAUGUAGGCGGCAUGACAAGUCUGGUGUGAAAUAUCUCGGCUCAACCGAGAAAACGCACUGGAAACUGUCAAGCUUGAGUAUAGGAAGGGAAGCUAGAAUUCCUGGUGUAGGGGUGAAAUCUGUAGAUAUCAGGAAGAAUACCGGUGGCGAAGGCGAGCUUCUGGCCAUAUACUGACGCUGAGAUGCGAAAGCGUGGGGAGCGAACAGGAUUAGAUACCCUGGUAGUC
Molecule: ribosomal RNA, 228 nt
Filed under: uncultured bacterium
Lineage: Bacteria
Description: partial 16S ribosomal RNA
Rfam family: Bacterial small subunit ribosomal RNA
Source: RNAcentral